AGAACGAACGCUGGCGGCAUGCCUAAUACAUGCAAGUCGAACGAACUCUUCGGAGUUAGUGGCGCACGGGUGCGUAACGCGUGGGAAUCUGCCCCUUGGUUCGGAAUAACAGUUGGAAACGACUGCCAAUACCGGAUGAUGACGAAAGUCCAAAGAUUUAUCGCCAAGGGAUGAGCCCGCGUAGGAUUAGCUAGUUGGUGAGGCAAAGGCUCACCAAGGCAACGAUCCUUAGCUGGUCUGAGAGGAUGAUCAGCCACACUGGGACUGAGACACGGCCCAGACUCCUACGGGAGGCAGCAGUAGGGAAUAUGGACAGUGGGCGAAAGCUGAUCAGCAAUGCCGCGUGAGUGAUGAAGGCUUAGGGUGUAAACGCUACGUUUACCGAGUAUAGAUAAGUGACUAGUAGUACGGAGUAAAUAACGGCCCCGGAC
This 431-nucleotide ribosomal RNA is filed under the name uncultured soil bacterium. Its description in RNAcentral is "bacterial SSU rRNA". It matches the Rfam family "Bacterial small subunit ribosomal RNA", at positions 26 to 498 of the family's 1533-position model. The record is from RNAcentral.